Non-coding RNA from Cricetulus griseus (Chinese hamster), 1979 nucleotides. The record is from RefSeq and is a predicted model, not a curated record. NCBI's taxonomy places the organism in Eukaryota, Metazoa, Chordata, Mammalia, Rodentia, Cricetidae.
UUGGUGCUGGGGUUGGGUAGACCAACUUCUGCCAAAUGGUGCCCUUGGUUGCUGGUUACAAUUUCUGAGCAUCAACAUGGCAACCAUCUCCUUCAUCUGGAGAGUUCUCCACCAAAUUAAGUACCAAACUAGUGGAAGAACGAAGCCUACACAUUUUGUGUGUGUGUGUGUGUGUGUGUGUGUGUGUGUGUGUGUGUUUCCUCACCCGCCCGUUCCAGGCUUGCUCCCUGGCAUCACACUGCCCUGCUGCACAGGGAAUGACUUUCUGCCCAUGGGAACACACCGCCCAAAGUGGACAGCAAAGAAGAGGCUGUGAUGGAGGAGCCCCAUUUCCUGCUUCAGUCCUUCACUGUCUUCAGCACCAGGCUGUUCCACCAAUGCCUCUGGCUGGUGGCCAGCUCCUGUCUGGACAGGAGGAAAUGGAGACAUGAGGAGUGGUGCACGGUGCUCAAGAGCAGAAAUUCCACCGGAAAGGAAACAAUAGCCGAGGAGAGUCAUUUUUCCAGAGAGUAGAGGUCCAGGAGACAGGCAGGACCUUCCUGCUUCAGCAGAAUAAACAAGCCCACUGGGGAAGCCCCAGCUAUGUACCACCCUCCAGGUCAAGGCCUAGCCAUAUAGUCCAGGUAGACCUUGAACUGACCCUCCCGACACAGCCUCCCCAGUGAUGGCACUACAGGGUUACAGUGCUUAGAAGUGGGUGCAGUUGGUUGACUGUCCUGUGCAUAGAGAAACAGAUACACAGGGGGUGAUAUCUGGCUGUGACCACAGCUCUCUGAAGAAGCCAGAACCUCGAAGACUCCCCAGAAUUACUGGAAGUUGGAGAUUUUGAAGAGAUAAAAUGUUGCAGCCAGAGAGCCAAGUUAUCUGGGGCGUUCAUAGCUGCUUCUUGGCAGCCUCUCUACCUGCCCUAGUAGGUGAAGCAUUGAGCUUCCAGAGCCCACCUCUCUCCAUGCCCUGUUGCGUUGCUGGGAGUUGACAGCACACACGGCUGUGCCUGGCUCUUCACUUGAGCAUUGAAAAUCAAACUCAGGUCCCCAUGCUUGCACGGCAAGCCCUCCUACCCCCUGAGCCAUCUCCAGGCCUCUGCCACCUCCGUUUAUUAGACAGGGUCUCUCACUCCACCUGGAGCUUGCUGAUUCUGCUGGGCUGAUGGGUCAGCAUACUCCUGGGAUCUGUCUGUCUGCCUCCCCAGUGGUGGGAUUUCAGUUGCAUGCUAACCUUGCCUGCUUUUUAGGAGUGUGCCAAUCAUCAAAUCUGGGUCCUCAUGUGGUGAGCAUUCUACAGACUGAGCCAUCUCCCCAGAGUCUUUUCCAAGAGCUUUUGAGAUCUCUGGAGCCCUGAGCAACCAUCUUGCAUCAGAAUUGUAGGACAUGGUUGUUUGGGUUUAGUUUUUGUUUUUCAUUAGAUGUCUAGGUACAUCUAGGACAGAGAUGACGCAAAUCGUGUGGUAUUUCAGGUCCUUGCUGCCCUGAGGCAGGUGCUGAAGUUAGAGUCUUCUGUCACACAGGAGGCCCAGGGGCCAGGUUCAGCCCAGACUUCAGGUACUGGGAAGAAUUCAGUCAAUUUCAUAGGAAUGUCACAGCAAGAGACGUGCUUGGCAGAAGACCUGGGCCAAUAUGGGUCAUUAACAUGAUUUCAUCAGCAAAAUUUUCCUUUGCCUUGGGGCCCAGAAAAGAUGGAGAGAUGUUGAGUCUGUGGAGGGAUAGAGGAUGGGCAUUUAGAUGUAUUGCUUUUAUUUUUUACUUUUUCUUUUUAAUAUUUAUUUGUGUUAGUGUGUUUUAGUGUGUUUUUGGCACACUUGUGUGCAAAAGUAUGUAAAGCCCAGAGGGUGACACUGGGUGUCUCCUCUAGCACUGAACACCUUAACCUUACUUAGUAUAUUUAUACUUAGUAUAUUUGUGUUUUUAAACUGAAUUUUGCCAGGCAGCGGUGGCGCACACCUUUAAUCCUGGCACUCGGGUGGCAGAGACAGGCAGAUC